CAAAACACUAAGCCCUCAAUGAAUAUUAUCCUAGCAACCUACUUUUCUACCCUAUCCUUACCUUUUGUGUCACUAUACCCCACUCCCUCUAGCAUGUAAGCUCAUUGAGCAGGGCCCUCAAUCCCUCUGUUCCUGUGCGCCCAACUUGUCUGGUUACAAAUACGUGUCUGUUAGUCCACCCAUUGUACAGCGCUACGGAACUUGUUG
Pelobates cultripes (western spadefoot toad) is the source of this 207-nucleotide non-coding RNA. NCBI's taxonomy places the organism in Eukaryota, Metazoa, Chordata, Amphibia, Anura, Pelobatidae. The record is from the annotation of a GenBank genome assembly.